RNAcentral lists this ribosomal RNA (158 nucleotides) under Spirochaetaceae bacterium. Its description in RNAcentral is "partial 16S ribosomal RNA". It matches the Rfam family "Bacterial small subunit ribosomal RNA", at positions 1378 to 1533 of the family's 1533-position model. The record is from RNAcentral. Lineage: Bacteria; Pseudomonadati; Spirochaetota; Spirochaetia; Spirochaetales; Spirochaetaceae.
GCCUUGUACACACCGCCCGUCAAGUCAUGAAAGUCGGUAACACCCGAAGCCAGUGGCCGAACCCGCAAGGGACGGAGCUGUCGAAGGUGGGAUCGGUGAUUAGGACUAAGUCGUAACAAGGUAGCCGUACCGGAAGGUGCGGCUGGAUCACCUCCUUU